AAGCAUCAGGUAACAUCAAAUCGUACCCCAAACCGACACAGGUGGUCAGGUAGAGAAUACCAAGGCGCUUGAGAGAACUCGGGUGAAGGAACUAGGCAAAAUGGUGCCGUAACUUCGGGAGAAGGCACGCUGAUAUGUAGGUGAAGCGACUUGCUCGUGGAGCUGAAAUCAGUCGAAGAUACCAGCUGGCUGCAACUGUUUAUUAAAAACACAGCACUGUGCAAACACGAAAGUGGACGUAUACGGUGUGACGCCUGCCCGGUGCCGGAAGGUUAAUUGAUGGGGUUAGCCGCAAGGCGAAGCUCUUGAUCGAAGCCCCGGUAAACGGCGGCCGUAACAAUAACGGUCCUAAGGUAGCGAAAUUCCUUGUCGGGUAAGUUCCGACCUGCACGAAUGGCGUAAUGAUGGCCAGGCUGUCUCCACCCGAGACUCAGUGAAAUUGAACUCGCUGUGAAGAUGCAGUGUACCCGCGGCAAGACGGAAAGACCCCGUGAACCUUUACUAUAGCUUGACACUGAACAUUGAGCCUUGAUGUGUAGGAUAGGUGGGAGGCUUUGAAGUGUGGACGCCAGUCUGCAUGGAGCCGACCUUGAAAUACCACCCUUUAAUGUUUGAUGUUCUAACGUUGACCCGUAAUCCGGGUUGCGGACAGUGUCUGGUGGGUAGUUUGACUGGGGCGGUCUCCUCCUAAAGAGUAACGGAGGAGCACGAAGGUUGGCUAAUCCUGGUCGGACAUCAGGAGGUUAGUGCAAUGGCAUAAGCCAGCUUGACUGCGAGCGUGACGGCGCGAGCAGGUGCGAAAGCAGGUCAUAGUGAUCCGGUGGUUCUGAAUGGAAGGGCCAUCGCUCAACGGAUAAAAGGUACUCCGGGGAUAACAGGCUGAUACCGCCCAAGAGUUCAUAUCGACGGCGGUGUUUGGCACCUCGAUGUCGGCUCAUCACAUCCUGGGGCUGAAGUAGGUCCCAAGGGUAUGGCUGUUCGCCAUUUAAAGUGGUACGCGAGCUGGGUUUAGAACGUCGUGAGACAGUUCGGUCCCUAUCUGCCGUGGGCGCUGGAGAACUGAGGGGGGCUGCUCCUAGUACGAGAGGACCGGAGUGGACGCAUCACUGGUGUUCGGGUUGUCAUGCCAAUGGCACUGCCCGGUAGCUAAAUGCGGAAGAGAUAAGUGCUGAAAGCAUCUAAGCACGAAACUUGCCCCGAGAUGAGUUCUCCCUGACUCCUUGAGAGUCCUGAAGGAACGUUGAAGACGACGACGUUGAUAGGCCGGGUGUGUAAGCGCAGCGAUGCGUUGAGCUAACCGGUACUAAUGAACCGUGAGGCUUAACCC
Molecule: ribosomal RNA, 1327 nt
Filed under: metagenome
Description: bacterial LSU rRNA
Rfam family: Bacterial large subunit ribosomal RNA
Source: RNAcentral